Molecule: long non-coding RNA, 6189 nt
Organism: Pan troglodytes (chimpanzee)
Lineage: Eukaryota; Metazoa; Chordata; Mammalia; Primates; Hominidae
Exons: 4
Source: RefSeq, a predicted model, not a curated record
GACUGGAAAUAUACUUGGUCGGGGGUGGCGGGGGUGGGGUGUGGGGGUGAGGGCUGGGGGAAGCUGCUAAGAUCAUGGAUUUGCUUGGAGGCCCCAAUCUCACCUGCUGGGGCCGCCUCCGAGGCGUCAGGGGGCUGCAGGGUCAUGGAGGAGGCGCUGCCCUCUCGCGAUAGGAGAUAGACAUUGCGCCGUGGGGACGCCGCUGCCUCCAUGCAGGUGCCGCUCCUACAGGCUUCCCUCCAGCUGGCCCUUCCUGCCAGGCCCUGGGACCACAGGUUCUCACUUUAUAGGUCGUGCCUCGGUUUAAGAGCAGGUCCAGGCCUCCCUACUGCCCUGCCCAAGUGUUACUUGUUAGAAAAUCAUGCCGGAUCACAGGCGGGCACUUCCUUCCUAACCUACUUAAGGGCUGGCUGCUAAUUAUAACCAUGAACCAAGGACGCUGCUCUCUGGAGCCGGCCCCGUUCUCACCACGGCCAUCACAGCCUGGGCUUGGCAAGGGAGCUCUGCAGGUCCAGACAGGGCGACCCUCUGUUCAAUCCCCCAUUAAGCAAAGAUGCACUGGGCACUCUCUCCUUGCCAAGAGCUAGGCCAGCACGGGGCCGAUGUUGGGCAGCCACCGCCCCAUCCCCAAGCAGUCACCAGACAGUUCUGGGCACAAGAGCACACAGGAAGCUCAUGGUGCCAGUGCUGUGGGACCCCAGGCCCAGGGACACUCCUCCCGGGGCCCACCCAGCUUUAUUUCAGUGGUGACACGAGACACCUGCGGGGCGCCCUGGAACGCCCACCAGGAGACGACCUGGCCCUCUUCCAGUUCCCCAGGAUUGCAGUCUGGCUUCUCCCGUCUGAGUCCUUGACCUGCCCAUGGCCAGACCACGGGUCCCUGAGGACCGCAAACAGCUUGGCUCUGCUUUGGGGUCCUGAGGAUGGACGCAGGGCUUGUGCACAGAUGUGUGCAGAUGAAACUGAUUAUGGAAAAAUACCUCAGGCUCCUGACCUCCACAUGCCCCUCUCAGCAUCGCUGUCACCCCAAACUACGACCUCCUGGGGUGUCAUCCACCCAGGCCCUCAGUGCCCUGCUCAGGGCUGGCCCGGACAUCGGCAGCCAAACUCCUCUUUCUGUCCAGCGAACCAGCUCAUGAGGGGAAUCACUUGAGCCCAUGAGCCACUCCUCCUUUCGCGCCUGCCUGCUGCACAGAACACAUCCUUUGACAUCCAUCUCCUCUGUAGGGCCAGUGGGCUCCAUGCCUGCUGGGCUCACCUGGAGGCCCAGCCCCCUGCCAGUGCCUGAACCCUAAGAUGUGCUUGGGGAACAGGAUGAACCUAUGCAUCUCACUCUGACCCGCAACCACCUUCCCCUCAGCAUGCGACAGUAGCAUCCAGCCAUCUCAGCACCUCCCAUGGUGUCCUUCUGGAAGCCUCUGAGCUUAUCCCUCUGAGCUCCCCACGGGCUGUCUGAGCAAAGCCCUGUGGCAUGCUGCAUCUUCAAAGGUGACGAUUACAACAACCGUUCUUACAUGCUCUCCUACAACACUGUGUCGACCCUUCUCCUAUUACCUGAUGGGGUCUAAAGCCCCUCACCUUGAACCUGGCUGGACCUCUGCAACUGCUUUGACCAAAAGGAUAUGACAGAAAAGACACCAGGCAGCUUCCAAGCUGGGUCAUCAAAUACCCCCAGCUUCUGCCUUGCUUUCUUAGGAUGCUCAUUCUGGGAACCCGGCAGCCAUGCUGGGACGAAGCUCAAACCACUCCACGCUGUGACCACGCAUGGAGCCCACAUGCCGCUAUUCUGGCAGAAGGACCACAGAAGUCCCCACGGAUGGCCAGCAAGAAGUUUCAGCAAAGACGCCUGUGGAGGAUUCUGGCUCCCAGCUCUUGAGUCACUCUCAGCCUUUGGGUCAGCCCAGUGAAACCACAGACAUUGUGGAGAGGAGACAAGGCAUACCCACUGUGCCCUUUCUGAAUGGCAGCCCCUCCCAACCCAUGAAUGUAACAGGAUGUUUGUCUUAUGUCACUGAGGCUUGGGGUGGUUUGUUAGGCAGCCAUUGAAAACCAGAAUGCCACCACAGUGAUGGCCCCAGACAUCAAAAGACCUCUUUGCAAAGCUUUUGCUCACAUCGUUUCUAUGCAGCUCUCUCUGUGCAUGCCCCCCAAGGGCAGGAACCCCAUCCCACCCUGCUGAGAAGCUCCCCCUCCAAACCCAAGGCUGGCCACCUCCUCCUCACUCUCCGAUCCCACUUCUGCUAUCCACACAUGGGCUUACACAAGAUGCCCAGGAACGGGUUCUCUAAAUCCGUGGGUUUCCACUUGGGGACCCUGGGGAUUUUGCAAGGGGUCUGUAUAUGCAUUUGCACACCAUGAUUGUCUGCAGACAAAUGGCUCGAUCUAUGUUGCACAUCCGGGGACUAUGGUUUUCAGUUGUAGGUAGAUGCUCAAGGGAUUUUUAAAAAAUGAAGGCUGCUAGAAAGUGUUACAAAAUCCCCAGGUGCCUUUGUUACUGAAUAGUUCUUAAGCAAUAUAAUGAUUGGAUAUAGCACGAGGAUGUGAGUUCAUUGAGAAAGGGGUCUUCACUCUCUGGAAGGUUAGGUGGCUCAUAACACAGAUCACAGCAGCUUCCCUGCUCUGGAGAAACAGCUCCAAAAAAAUACUAGGUUCCAAACUGUUCCUGAUCUAAUUUCUGGAACUUGCCCACCAAGCAAAAAGUUAGGUUUGAUGAGGAUAGCAGUUUAUAGUUUACAAAUAAGCCUUAUGCAUUUUAUCUCUGCUCAUACAAAAACUCCCUGGUAUAGACAGUAGGAGAGGGGACUCAGUGGCGACGCCUGGUCUCCUCACCAUCUCUGCACAGCCUGGCUCCAGACCUCUCUAGAGACAGUAAAGUCACUUUCUCCACAGCCAAAGUCCCAAGAGGAGGCACUUGCCGUUUUGAUCCAAGAAGGGAAAUGCCCUUCAAAUCCUGGCGUGACCUUGCCUGGAAUCUUCACAGCCACUCUUGGAGGUAGAUAUUCUUUUGCCCAUUUGGCAGAGUUGGAAGCUUAGAGAGGUUUAGUGACCAGCCCAAAGCCACACGGUGAGGAGUGGCAGAGCAAGGAUUCAAGCCCAAGUCUGCCUUUCUUCAGCUACCUAUUUCCAAAGAAAGCUGCUACUAACCGAUUUGCAGCCCACUGCCCCUGCCCACUGCAAGUCACACCUACAGACUCCACCCACCACAGACUCCACCCACAGCAGAUUCUCCUGCUUCAGGAUCCACUCACCAGACUCCACCCACUGCAGACUCCACCUACCACAGGCUCCACGCACUGACUCCACCCACUGCAGACUCCACCCACUGCAGACUCCACCCACUGCAGACUCCACCUACCACAGGCUCUACUAAGACUCCACCCACCAGAGGCUCCACCCCCAGCAGACUCCACUCACUGCAGUGCCACCACUGCAGCCUUCCUUCCUCUCAGCCUUGCCUGGGAUCCACCAACCUUUCCUCUGGCCCCAAAGACUGCUUCUUCUCCCAUAUCCUGUGAUCAUCAUUCUCCUAGGCUCGACCGAGAAGACCUAACCGUACUGGGAUGACUGUAUUAUCUCCUGGGCAUGUUUCCAGAAGCCAGCUCCACUUACUCUAAAUUCAAGCAGGGUGUCCUGGCCAAUUCCCAUGUGGACCUCUCUCCUAUCCCCCCACGCAGCGUCCUGUUGGCCCAGCUGCUCACCGUGGGAAGAGAUGAUGGGUUGUCCCCACCCCAGUGAUCAACUGUAAAGCUCAGGACAGUUCAAGGGAAUCAAGCCCCACAUUCUCUGGGCUUCAUGCAGGACAUCACAGCCAAACAUCAGCCCCAGGAAGAGGAGCCCUGGUGAUUUUCAGAGGCCUGUGUUAUGAUCCAGGCCAGCCCUGCUAGCUCCAGGCCACAUGCUCCCAGGAAAGUCAUCACCUCUGGAGCCUCUCCCUGCCAUCUGCGCAGGAAGGCCGCGGCUGUACUGAGCUUUUGGUGAUAUGGUGAGAAUCAGAGGCCGAGGCUGGACCCUGAGCCCAGCACAUAGCAUGAGCUCAACACACGCCAGGGCUUAGGGAUCCUUGCACACUGACUGCCAUCUGGGGAGACGCCAGAGGACAGUUCCAGAAGAGCACUCCACACUCAUGUCUAGAGGCCCUUGAGAGCUCAGGCAGGAGCUGGCCCCAUGAGGCUCGUCCUCCAAUCCCACAGGGUUGUAGGGAGGCCUCUGUCUUGCUGGAAAACUUGGGAUGCAAAAGCUGACCAGGUGAGGGGAUCUGUCUGUUGUCCACCUGGGCCCACUGAUGGGGUGACCUUCAGCAAGUCAGGGCACCUCUCUGAAACAGGACAAGCCUCUGGCUUUGUCUACAGUCCCAUGGUGCCAGGGAUCCCCUAGAGACCUGUGCUGGGCCUGGGGAACAAGUGGCCCAGCAAGCCUCAGGCUGUCCCAGGACACUUUUGUCCUGGCACGAUCACUGGUCUCAAACGUGUCUCAGGGUGGGGUGUGGGGCUGAAGAGCGCCCCAAUCUCACUUCUGAGGUGAGGUGAGUUGGGGAUGCUGGGUAUGGAAGGAUCUAGAAGCCCAAAGGAGGCUGGAGAGAGCGUGUAGUCUUGUGGCACAGGUCUCGGGCUUCCUUCUUUUUUUUUUUUUUUGAGACAGAGUCUCGCUCUGUUGCCCAGGCUGGAGUGCAGUGGCAUGAUCUUGGCUCACUGCAACCUCCGCUUCAUGGGUUCAAGUGAUUUGCCUCCCUUAGCCUCCUGAGUAGCUGGGAUUAUAGGCGCGUGCCACCACACCGGGAUAAUUUUUGUAUUUCUAGUAGAGAUGGGGUUUCACCAUGUUGGUCAGGCUGGUCUUGAACGCCUGACCUCAUGAUCCGCCCACCUGGGUCUCCCAAAGUGCUGGGAUUACAGGUGUGAGCCAUCGUGCCCAGACUGGGCUUCCUUCUUACUAAACAAUCUUAAAAUCACCAAAGAAAAUGAUUCCAUUUUCUUGAUACUUUGCACAGUGCUGCAAAUAACAGUGACACUGUCUUUUAAAAAACAAACAAACAAUCAAACAAACAAUUUCCUCUUGGGCCCUGGCUCCAGAGGGCUUGGUUGCUUGGACCCUUUGUGAAGUUGGGGCUUUUGCGAGGCUGAAACUCCACUAGCCCCGAGUGAGCCUAAGGGGUCAGGGGAGGGGUUCCCAGCCCAGUGGGAAGAGCAGACCCUUCGCCUCCACUCAGAUCUGGGGUGCGUGCUCAAGUCCUGCGGGUGGAAGUGUCCUACAGCUCCUUCCGGCAUGAAAUCCCUGUGAUUUCCCUAUUUUGAGGCAGGGGUCCAUGAGGACAAAGUCACUCUUGGCCACAAAUAGGCUCUGUUCACAGAGCGACAGGCACAGACGUCGGGCAGCAGGGUCCCUGGCGGCCCCCAGAGCCCGAGAGGAGCCUCUCCUAUGGGAGGCAGGAAGAGAAAAACAGCCCAGCGGCCACGCUGCCCCUUCCUCCCAGAAGAGGACGUGGCAGGAAGCAAGAGCGGUGCCAGCAGGGAGCUCGAGCCAUCUCUGUGGGCUGAACCGGGACCCCCAGAUGCCCAUGUUGAAGUCCUAACCCCCGGACCUCGGCAAGUGACUGUGUUCGGAGACAGGGCCUUCAAAGGUGUCGUUAUGCAUGGGAGACCAGAGGGAACCCGACAUGAAGACGUGGGAGAAGAUGGCGACUUAGAUGCCAGGAGAGGGGCCCUGGGACGGGUCCUUCCUUGCAGCCUCAGAAGGAGCCAGCCCUGCCCGCACCUUGAUCUGGGACUUCUGGCCUCCAGAAGUGUGGGAGGAUGCACAUCUGCCAGUCCAGCCCCCAUCUGUGUGCUCUGUCGUGGGAGCGUGGGAAACCAGCAGGAGCACUUCUCAGCUUACCGUGCAGGUCCGUCCUGAUGAACCCGGGGCAAGCUCGUGACAUCACUAAGUUGAGACUUCACUGACUGCACCUAACCUAGCGACCAUCACAGCUCAGCUCAGCCUACCGGAAACAUGCUCAGAACACCUACGCCAGCCUACAGCUGGGCACACACAUCUAACGCAAAGCCUGUUUUAUAAUACAAUGUUGACCGUCUCACGUAAGAGUACUGUACCGCAGAUUGCUAGCUCAGAGAAAGAUCGAAAUUCAAAAUUCAAAGUAUGGUUUCUACUGAAUGCAUAUUGUUUUUGCAACAUUAUAAAAUCAAAAAACGAUAGUCC